Molecule: ribosomal RNA, 253 nt
Filed under: uncultured bacterium
Lineage: Bacteria
Description: partial 16S ribosomal RNA
Rfam family: Bacterial small subunit ribosomal RNA
Source: RNAcentral
UACGAAGGGGGCUAGCGUUGUUCGGAAUUACUGGGCGUAAAGCGCACGUAGGCGGAUAUUUAAGUCAGGGGUGAAAUCCCAGAGCUCAACUCUGGAACUGCCUCUGAUACUGGGUAUCUCGAGUAUGGAAGAGGUGAGUGGAAUUCCGAGUGUAGAGGUGAAAUUCGUAGAUAUUCGGAGGAACACCAGUGGCGAAGGCGGCUCACUGGUCCAUUACUGACGCUGAGGUGCGAAAGCGUGGGGAGCAAACAGG